CUACGGGGGGCUGCAGUGGGGAAUAUUGCAAAAUGGAGGAAACUCUGAUGCAGCAACGCCGCGUGGAGGAUGACACUUUUCGGAGCGUAAACUCCUUUUAUAUAGGAAGAAGAUGACGGUACUAUAUGAAUAAGCGCCGGCUAACUCCGUGCCAGCAGCCGCGGUAAUACGGAGGGCGCAAGCGUUACUCGGAAUCACUGGGCGUAAAGAGCGUGUAGGCGGAUUAAAAAGUCAGAAGUGAAAUCCUAUAGCUUAACUAUAGAACUGCUUCUGAAACUCUUAAUCUAGAAUAUGGGAGAGGUAGAUGGAAUCUCUGGUGUAGGGGUAAAAUCCGUAGAGAUCAGAAGGAAUACCGAUUGCGAAGGCGAUCUACUAGAACAUUAUUGACGCUGAGACGCGAAAGCGUGGGGAGCAAACAGGAUUAGAUACCCUAGUAGUC
Molecule: ribosomal RNA, 439 nt
Filed under: uncultured bacterium
Lineage: Bacteria
Description: partial 16S ribosomal RNA
Rfam family: Bacterial small subunit ribosomal RNA
Source: RNAcentral